This 110-nucleotide ribosomal RNA is filed under the name sponge bacterium AF4. RNAcentral describes it as "partial 16S ribosomal RNA". It matches the Rfam family "Bacterial small subunit ribosomal RNA", at positions 141 to 267 of the family's 1533-position model. The record is from RNAcentral.
GAAUAACCGUUGGAAACGAUGGCUAAUACCGUAUACGCCUUGAGAGGGAAAGAUUUAUCGCCCUGGGAUAUACCCGCGUUGGAUUAGGUAGUUGGUGAGGUAAGAGCUCA